This 496-nucleotide ribosomal RNA is filed under the name uncultured bacterium. Its description in RNAcentral is "partial 16S ribosomal RNA". It matches the Rfam family "Bacterial small subunit ribosomal RNA", at positions 28 to 506 of the family's 1533-position model. The record is from RNAcentral.
GGUGAACGCUGGCGGCGUGCCUAAUACAUGCAAGUCGAGCGAACAGACGAGGAGCUUGCUCCUCUGACGUUAGCGGCGGACGGGUGAGUAACACGUGGAUAACCUGCCUAUAAGACUGGGAUAACUUCGGGAAACCGGAGCUAAUACCGGAUAAUAUAUUGAACCGCAUGGUUCAAUAGUGAAAGACGGUUUUGCUGUCACUUAUAGAUGGAUCCGCGCCGCAUUAGCUAGUUGGUAAGGUAACGGCUUACCAAGGCAACGAUGCGUAGCCGACCUGAGAGGGUGAUCGGCCACACUGGAACUGAGACACGGUCCAGACUCCUACGGGAGGCAGCAGUAGGGAAUCUUCCGCAAUGGGCGAAAGCCUGACGGAGCAACGCCGCGUGAGUGAUGAAGGUCUUCGGAUCGUAAAACUCUGUUAUUAGGGAAGAACAAAUGUGUAAGUAACUAUGCACGUCUUGACGGUACCUAAUCAGAAAGCCACGGCUAACUACGU